RNAcentral lists this ribosomal RNA (3165 nucleotides) under Staphylococcus aureus. RNAcentral describes it as "23S ribosomal RNA". It matches the Rfam family "Bacterial large subunit ribosomal RNA". The record is from RNAcentral. Lineage: Bacteria; Bacillati; Bacillota; Bacilli; Caryophanales; Staphylococcaceae.
AGAUUAAGUUAUUAAGGGCGCACGGUGGAUGCCUUGGCACUAGAAGCCGAUGAAGGACGUUACUAACGACGAUAUGCUUUGGGGAGCUGUAAGUAAGCUUUGAUCCAGAGAUUUCCGAAUGGGGAAACCCAGCAUGAGUUAUGUCAUGUUAUCGAUAUGUGAAUACAUAGCAUAUCAGAAGGCACACCCGGAGAACUGAAACAUCUUAGUACCCGGAGGAAGAGAAAGANUGGAAACAUAGAUUAAGUUAUUAAGGGCGCACGGUGGAUGCCUUGGCACUAGAAGCCGAUGAAGGACGUUACUAACGACGAUAUGCUUUGGGGAGCUGUAAGUAAGCUUUGAUCCAGAGAUUUCCGAAUGGGGAAACCCAGCAUGAGUUAUGUCAUGUUAUCGAUAUGUGAAUACAUAGCAUAUCAGAAGGCACACCCGGAGAACUGAAACAUCUUAGUACCCGGAGGAAGAGAAAGAAAAUUCGAUUCCCUUAGUAGCGGCGAGCGAAACGGGAAGAGCCCAAACCAACAAGCUUGCUUGUUGGGGUUGUAGGACACUCUAUACGGAGUUACAAAGGACGACAUUAGACGAAUCAUCUGGAAAGAUGAAUCAAAGAAGGUAAUAAUCCUGUAGUCGAAAAUGUUGUCUCUCUUGAGUGGAUCCUGAGUACGACGGAGCACGUGAAAUUCCGUCGGAAUCUGGGAGGACCAUCUCCUAAGGCUAAAUACUCUCUAGUGACCGAUAGUGAACCAGUACCGUGAGGGAAAGGUGAAAAGCACCCCGGAAGGGGAGUGAAAUAGAACCUGAAACCGUGUGCUUACAAGUAGUCAGAGCCCGUUAAUGGGUGAUGGCGUGCCUUUUGUAGAAUGAACCGGCGAGUUACGAUUUGAUGCAAGGUUAAGCAGUAAAUGUGGAGCCGUAGCGAAAGCGAGUCUGAAUAGGGCGUUUAGUAUUUGGUCGUAGACCCGAAACCAGGUGAUCUACCCUUGGUCAGGUUGAAGUUCAGGUAACACUGAAUGGAGGACCGAACCGACUUACGUUGAAAAGUGAGCGGAUGAACUGAGGGUAGCGGAGAAAUUCCAAUCGAACCUGGAGAUAGCUGGUUCUCUCCGAAAUAGCUUUAGGGCUAGCCUCAAGUGAUGAUUAUUGGAGGUAGAGCACUGUUUGGACGAGGGGCCCCUCUCGGGUUACCGAAUUCAGACAAACUCCGAAUGCCAAUUAAUUUAACUUGGGAGUCAGAACAUGGGUGAUAAGGUCCGUGUUCGAAAGGGAAACAGCCCAGACCACCAGCUAAGGUCCCAAAAUAUAUGUUAAGUGGAAAAGGAUGUGGCGUUGCCCAGACAACUAGGAUGUUGGCUUAGAAGCAGCCAUCAUUUAAAGAGUGCGUAAUAGCUCACUAGUCGAGUGACACUGCGCCGAAAAUGUACCGGGGCUAAACAUAUUACCGAAGCUGUGGAUUGUCCUUUGGACAAUGGUAGGAGAGCGUUCUAAGGGCGUUGAAGCAUGAUCGUAAGGACAUGUGGAGCGCUUAGAAGUGAGAAUGCCGGUGUGAGUAGCGAAAGACGGGUGAGAAUCCCGUCCACCGAUUGACUAAGGUUUCCAGAGGAAGGCUCGUCCGCUCUGGGUUAGUCGGGUCCUAAGCUGAGGCCGACAGGCGUAGGCGAUGGAUAACAGGUUGAUAUUCCUGUACCACCUAUAAUCGUUUUAAUCGAUGGGGGGACGCAGUAGGAUAGGCGAAGCGUGCGAUUGGAUUGCACGUCUAAGCAGUAAGGCUGAGUAUUAGGCAAAUCCGGUACUCGUUAAGGCUGAGCUGUGAUGGGGAGAAGACAUUGUGUCUUCGAGUCGUUGAUUUCACACUGCCGAGAAAAGCCUCUAGAUAGAAAAUAGGUGCCCGUACCGCAAACCGACACAGGUAGUCAAGAUGAGAAUUCUAAGGUGAGCGAGCGAACUCUCGUUAAGGAACUCGGCAAAAUGACCCCGUAACUUCGGGAGAAGGGGUGCUCUUUAGGGUUAACGCCCAGAAGAGCCGCAGUGAAUAGGCCCAAGCGACUGUUUAUCAAAAACACAGGUCUCUGCUAAACCGUAAGGUGAUGUAUAGGGGCUGACGCCUGCCCGGUGCUGGAAGGUUAAGAGGAGUGGUUAGCUUCUGCGAAGCUACGAAUCGAAGCCCCAGUAAACGGCGGCCGUAACUAUAACGGUCCUAAGGUAGCGAAAUUCCUUGUCGGGUAAGUUCCGACCCGCACGAAAGGCGUAACGAUUUGGGCACUGUCUCAACGAGAGACUCGGUGAAAUCAUAGUACCUGUGAAGAUGCAGGUUACCCGCGACAGGACGGAAAGACCCCGUGGAGCUUUACUGUAGCCUGAUAUUGAAAUUCGGCACAGCUUGUACAGGAUAGGUAGGAGCCUUUGAAACGUGAGCGCUAGCUUACGUGGAGGCGCUGGUGGGAUACUACCCUAGCUGUGUUGGCUUUCUAACCCGCACCACUUAUCGUGGUGGGAGACAGUGUCAGGCGGGCAGUUUGACUGGGGCGGUCGCCUCCUAAAAGGUAACGGAGGCGCUCAAAGGUUCCCUCAGAAUGGUUGGAAAUCAUUCAUAGAGUGUAAAGGCAUAAGGGAGCUUGACUGCGAGACCUACAAGUCGAGCAGGGUCGAAAGACGGACUUAGUGAUCCGGUGGUUCCGCAUGGAAGGGCCAUCGCUCAACGGAUAAAAGCUACCCCGGGGAUAACAGGCUUAUCUCCCCCAAGAGUUCACAUCGACGGGGAGGUUUGGCACCUCGAUGUCGGCUCAUCGCAUCCUGGGGCUGUAGUCGGUCCCAAGGGUUGGGCUGUUCGCCCAUUAAAGCGGUACGCGAGCUGGGUUCAGAACGUCGUGAGACAGUUCGGUCCCUAUCCGUCGUGGGCGUAGGAAAUUUGAGAGGAGCUGUCCUUAGUACGAGAGGACCGGGAUGGACAUACCUCUGGUGUACCAGUUGUCGUGCCAACGGCAUAGCUGGGUAGCUAUGUGUGGACGGGAUAAGUGCUGAAAGCAUCUAAGCAUGAAGCCCCCCUCAAGAUGAGAUUUCCCAACUUCGGUUAUAAGAUCCCUCAAAGAUGAUGAGGUUAAUAGGUUCGAGGUGGAAGCAUGGUGACAUGUGGAGCUGACGAAUACUAAUCGAUCGAAGACUUAAUCAAAA